Molecule: transfer RNA, 76 nt
Filed under: Gammaproteobacteria bacterium MedPE
Lineage: Bacteria; Pseudomonadati; Pseudomonadota; Gammaproteobacteria
Also listed under: 5 other names
Description: tRNA-Gly
Rfam family: tRNA
About the family: Transfer RNA (tRNA) molecules are approximately 80 nucleotides in length. Their secondary structure includes four short double-helical elements and three loops (D, anti-codon, and T loops).
Source: RNAcentral
GCGACUUUAGCUCAGCUGGUAGAGCGCGACCUUGCCAAGGUCGAGGUCACGAGUUCGAACCUCGUAAGUCGCUCCA